RNAcentral lists this ribosomal RNA (458 nucleotides) under uncultured bacterium. Its description in RNAcentral is "partial 16S ribosomal RNA". It matches the Rfam family "Bacterial small subunit ribosomal RNA", at positions 338 to 795 of the family's 1533-position model. The record is from RNAcentral.
CCUACGGGGGGCAGCAGUGAGGAAUAUUGGUCAAUGGGCGAGAGCCUGAACCAGCCAAGUCGCGUGAGGGAGUACUGCCCUAUGGGUUGUAAACCUCUUUUGUCGGGGAGCAAAAGCCGGACGUGUCCGGCUGUGAGAGUACCCGAAGAAAAAGCAUCGGCUAACUCCGUGCCAGCAGCCGCGGUAUUACGGAGGAUGCGAGCGUUAUCCGGAUUUAUUGGGUUAAAAGGGUGCGCAGGCGGAUUUUUAAGUCAGCGGUAAAAUCGUGGGGCUCAACCCCAUCCAGCCGUUGAAACUGGGGAUCUAGAGUGUGCGAGAGGUAUGCGGAAUGCGUGGUGUAGCGGUGAAAUGCAUAGAUAUCACGCAGAACCCCGAUUGCGAAGGCAGCAUACCGGUGCACAACUGACGCUCAGGCACGAAAGCGUGGGUAUCGAACAGGAUUAGAUACCCUAGUAGUC